UGGGGUGGAGCUUAGUUGGGAGAGCGCCUGACUGUUAAUCAGGAGGUCGCUGGUUCGAAUCCAGCCGCCCCAG
RNAcentral lists this transfer RNA (73 nucleotides) under Gemmatimonadota bacterium. RNAcentral describes it as "Gemmatimonadetes bacterium (activated sludge metagenome) tRNA-Asn". It matches the Rfam family "tRNA". Rfam says of the family: Transfer RNA (tRNA) molecules are approximately 80 nucleotides in length. The record is from RNAcentral. Lineage: Bacteria; Pseudomonadati; Gemmatimonadota.